RNAcentral lists this transfer RNA (74 nucleotides) under Rhodoferax sp. RNAcentral describes it as "tRNA-Gly". It matches the Rfam family "tRNA". From Rfam's summary of the family: Transfer RNA (tRNA) molecules are approximately 80 nucleotides in length. Their secondary structure includes four short double-helical elements and three loops (D, anti-codon, and T loops). Further hydrogen bonds mediate the characteristic L-shaped molecular structure. tRNAs have two regions of fundamental functional importance: the anti-codon, which is responsible for specific mRNA codon recognition, and the 3' end, to which the tRNAs corresponding amino acid is attached (by aminoacyl-tRNA synthetases). tRNAs cope with the degeneracy of the genetic code in two manners: having more than one tRNA (with a specific anti-codon) for a particular amino acid; and 'wobble' base-pairing, i.e. permitting non-standard base-pairing at the 3rd anti-codon position. Lineage: Bacteria; Pseudomonadati; Pseudomonadota; Betaproteobacteria; Burkholderiales; Comamonadaceae. RNAcentral also lists the same sequence under 5 other names. The record is from RNAcentral.
GCGGGUGUAGUUCAAUGGUAGAACGCUAGCUUCCCAAGCUCGAUACGUGAGUUCGAUUCUCAUCACCCGCUCCA